This 1755-nucleotide long non-coding RNA is filed under the name Malus domestica (apple). RNAcentral's name for it is "long non-coding RNA (MDOM_LNC014293)". Lineage: Eukaryota; Viridiplantae; Streptophyta; Magnoliopsida; Rosales; Rosaceae. The record is from RNAcentral.
AAAAUAUUCUCAAUUAGCAAAACAAACAACAGUGAGCUGCUAGCUAUAAAAGGUUGCAAAGUUAGCUUUAAUCAUCAGAAGCCUGUACUUUUUGACAUCUUUUAACCAUUGCAAACGCAAAUGUAAAAAACGGAAACUUCCCAACAACACAACAUCAUUGAUUUGAUUCCUCAUCUUUUUUGCAUUCGCCGCACCCAUCAGAGCAAGACAGACCAAAAAUAACAAAGCAAAAGAAGGCUUUUCCCUUUCCUUUUUAUAUUUUUUUAAUUUUAAUUUAUUUUCUUCUCAAAACUUUAUAUAUAAAAGGCUAAAUUGGAUUGUUAGUCAUAGGACACUUGCAUAAUGACCCCCGUGGUGAAAAAAUUAGGAAUUAAACCCCUGUGGUCUAGAAUGUUAGCAAAUUUAGUCCAAAAGUAAGAUUUCUGUUAAAUGACUGUUAAAAGUUGGGGUAAAACUGUAUUUUCAGUUCUAAUUGACAUUGAAUUGAGACUUUUUUUUUAUUUAAAAAAUUAAGCAUUAUUUUUUUAGUUAAUUGUUAUAAAAAAAUUAUUUAUUUUAAAUAUCAAUUGGAACUGAAAAUACAAUUUUACCUAUACUUUUAACAGUCAUUUAACAAAAAUCUUACUUUUGGACUAAAUUUGCUAACAUUUUUUACCACAAGGGUGUAAGUCCUAGUUUUUUCACUACGGGGGUCAUCAUGCAAGUUUCCUAUGACCACGGGGAUGAAUAAUCCAAUUUGGCCUAUAUAAAAACCAUAUUAUUCACUACAUGGAAAGGAAUAUUUGCUCCACUUCGUUCAUAUAGGAAGGGCUUUUGAAGUAGGACAAGACAAUUGCAAACAGCUCACACGAGGCUACUUUUGCUGAGGCAUGCAACCUACUCUCUCAGUUGAUUAUUUAUGCAUUUUUUUUGGGAUUUUUGGGUCCUCAGAUUAUUCCCUGAAAUAAGUGAAAUCCCACUUCCGAUGUGGGGCAGACAUCAUACGUUUGCAAUUGUUGAGCAACUUAGUAGAAGAAUCACAUAAAUAUUGUCUGCAUUAUAUUUUUCCCUUUGGAAACCCACUCAAUUACAUGUUGUUUGGUUUGCUUAAUCCGGCUAUCCCUUUUCUUUUUAACAAAAGCGAUAUCUCUAUAAUGUACUAGGAGGAAGAUUUGAACUAAUACAAUCGCCAAGCGGUUUCCCUAACCAAACCUUUAAAGAACAUUUCUAAGUUCUUUAUUUUCCCUUCUAUUUCUAGAGGUGCGGUUACUUCAUUUUAAAGACUUAAAUUAUUAUUUUCAAAAUGGUUGCAGGAAUACUCCACUUUAUAUAAGAGAGAGAGAGAGAGAGAGAGAGAGAGAGAGAGAGAGAGAGAGAGAGAGAGCAUUCAUCAUUCUUGCAAAACCAGCAUGCAAUAUGAACAAGUUCUCCAUACCUUUCAAUGUGUUCAUUGACAUUUUGGGGGAAAAGUGGGGCAACCCCAAAACAAUCAACAAAAGUUCUUGGCCAAGAGGGUCAUUUGAGGCCUGUCCCUUGUUUGGUAAAAUCUCUAGAAAUCCACAAAAUUAACCAUGGAAAUAAUAAUUACACAUUGUUAUUCUCUUCAUUUUUUAUACAAUGAUGUUUUUACACUAAAGAAGUGCGGAAUAAAUAGGUUGCGCACUCGUAAUUUUUCAGAUUCGAGCACAUGACAUUUCACUUAUAAAUAAAGAUGAGUACCAUUAAACGAUGGUAUUAAAUGGUCACUCUUAUUUAAUUUGCUCAAUCUAAUGACAA